Rhodnius prolixus is the source of this 127-nucleotide non-coding RNA. Lineage: Eukaryota; Metazoa; Arthropoda; Insecta; Hemiptera; Reduviidae. The record is from Rfam.
UACCUUGCGAGUGGCAAUAUCGUAACCAGUGAAGGUUUCCUGAGGUGCGAUUAUUGCUAGUUGAAAACUAAGUACAUUUAUCAAAUAUCAUGAACGUAACACAAUUUAUGGAUCCUAUUUUCAGAUA